GUGGAAUUUGAGGCCUCCCCAGCGACCCACAAAAAAAGGAGGGAGAAAUGAAAGGAAGAAGAAAAAUUGAGCAUUUGUUUUUCUCUGACAAAGAGUAAAAUGACAGGGAAAAUCAAGCUGAACUCUUCCUGGAGACGGAAGAAAUCACACCAAUGCAAGCAUCUGUCUUCUGUCCAUGGUGCUGAAAUUUAUUCACUUUCAAACCACUUGCAGUAACAGUUAGCAUAAAAUAUGAGAAGUGUUGACAGGAAGCUGCAGCUUGGAUGGGAUGAUCACAACUCCAGGGCAAUGAGAUGACACGAAGUUGCAGGAGAGACCCCAGGGGACAAGAGUCUCUUGCCGUCUGCCCCAGGGCCCAGCCCUCCUUGUCCUCCCUGGCUGUUAUCUUCGGUACUACAAAGAGAACACAGACAUAUCUGGCCUGGUGACCUGGCUGUACUAGAAAAGUCAGCUUCAUCAAAUUCUUUACAAAAGGAAAAUACAAGGAAUGGGAUAAGCCUCAUUGACUUGGAGAAAAUCAAAAGGAAUGAGAACAGCAUCAAAAGCCCCCUGGCCCCAGACUGCACCCACUUUCCUGGCCCUACCUUGAAAUCCAUCAGGUCUGCGUUGGACACGGCAUUGUACACGGGGUUAGCUCUGGUCUGACCUGGAAGCUGGAAUGCCAGAAGGAGGAGGAAGCUCACGGUAACAGCGGAGAAGGAGCCCAUGCCGGUGUAGUCAAGGAGCGAUCCACUGCUUGCUGCUCU
Non-coding RNA from Saimiri boliviensis boliviensis (Bolivian squirrel monkey), 746 nucleotides. NCBI's taxonomy places the organism in Eukaryota, Metazoa, Chordata, Mammalia, Primates, Cebidae. The record is from RefSeq and is a predicted model, not a curated record.